AGGAGGACUCCUUUGGGAGACCGGUCCCCUGUCCUCGCCCUCACUCCAUAAGGAGAUCCACCUACAACCUCGGGUCCUCAGACCAACCAGCCCAAGCAACAUCUCACCAAUUUCAAAUUGGCUCUACCUACAAGAAGCACUGGGAAAUAUCUUUGGACCCCACGAUUAGGUGAUGUGACUCCCCUUCCUGGGCUCUUUCCUCAGGAGGUAUUGUGACAUAUUCCUGGACCAAGUACCUAGGUAAUGUAACUCUUUUCUAGUGCUUGGACUUUACCCAAGGAGAGAUUGUAAUGUAUCACUGGACCCAGCACCUAGGUUACAUGACUUUCCUCUUUUGACUGAGUCUUGCAUAAAUUGUGUAUUGUGACAAAUAACUGAGUCUAAAAGCUAGGUGAUGAGACUCUUCUGAAUGGACCCUGUCUACAGGGGUAUUAUGACAUAUCUUUUUUUAUACUGCCUAGGUGAUGUGACUUUGUGUGUGUGUGUGUCCCGGCCCUGCCAAAAGUGGGGAUCGUAACAUAUCACUAAACUUAGCACCAAGGUGUUAUGACUCUCCUUGUUUGCCUGGGCCCUGCAUAUAUUUGGUAAUAUGACGUAUGGCUGAGACAAACACCUAGGGCAUGAGAACCUCCCGCCUGGGUCCUGGCCACAAGGAGUCUUUUGGCUUAUCUCUGCAUCCAUCAACCAGGAGAUGUGACUCUUCUUUUCUGUCUGGGUUCUACAAAAACAAGUGAUUGUGACAUAUUAUCAAACCCAGCAACUAGAUGAUGUGAUUUUUCUUCCCUGCUUGAACUCUGGAUAUGCUGUGUAUUGUGAUAUAUGGCUGGGUCCAACAUUAAGGUAAUGUGACUCUCCUGAAUGGUCUCUGCCCACAGGAAUAUUAUGACAUAUCUUUACAUUUAACACCUUGGUUACGUGAAUCUUUUUAUCUCCCCUCUUGAAUUAGGGAUUGUGAUAUAUCGCUGAACCUAGCACCUAGGUGAUGUGACUUUGUUUUAUUGCCUGUGUCCUGCAUUUUUUAAGUAUUGUGACAUGUCCCUGGCCACAACAUCUAAAGAAUUGGGAGGAGAGAUUGUGACAUAUCUCUGGAACCAGAACCUUAGUGAUGUGACGCUUCUCUCCUGCUGAAGCCAUGCCCACACAAGGGAAAGUGACUUAUCACUGGGCCCAGCACACAGGUGAUGUAAUUCUUCUGCCUGGUUUUUGUACCCAGGAGCCAUUGUAAUCUAUCUCUGGGCCCAUCAUUUAAAUGAUGUGACUGUCAUUUUCUUCCUGAGCCCUAUUCACAGGGAAAAUAAUGACACAUCUGUGGGGUUCUCACCGAAAUGAUGUGACUCUCCUGCCUGGGCUCACCUCUCAAGGGAAUUGUGACAUAUUACUGGGCCAGCCACCUAGGUGAUGUGGCUCUGACAAAGGAGAAAUUGUGAUGUACCACUGUUCCACACCUAAGAGAUUUGACUCUCAUCUUUUCAUGAGCCCUGCAUUUAUUGUGUAUUGUGACAUAUGGCUUGAUCCAACACCUUGGUGAUGUGACUCUCUACUUCUUCCUGAGCUAUGCCAAAAAAGAAGAUUGUGACAUAUCACUGGAUCCAGUACCUAGAUGAUGUAAAUCUUUUCUUUUGCUGAGCCAUGCAUAUUUUUGGUAUUGUGACAUGUCGCUGGACCCAACACCUACAGGAUUGGAUCAGAGGCUACUGAAUAAGCCCUGCCCAUAGGCGGCCUUGUGACAUAUGUCUGCAUCUAUCGCCUAAGUGAUGUGACUCUUUUUCUGCCUGCAGCCUGCACAUAGAGAAGAUUGUGACAUAUAGCUCUGCCCAGUAACCAGGUGAUGUGUCUUUUCUGGCAGGUCUUUUCCCACAGGGAGCAUUGUGAAACAUCACUGGGCUCAGCCACCAGGUUAUGUGACUCUUCUGCCUGUGCCCUGCUUCCAGAAAAUAUUGUGACAUUCCUCAUACAGCAUCCAGGUGAUGUGACUCUUCUGCUCAUUUUCUACUUACAGGAGACAUGCCCAAAAAAGGGAUUGUGGCAUAUCUCUGAGCCCAGCACCCAAAUGUUGUGACUCUCCUGCCUGAGCUGUGCCUAGAGAAAAUAUUAUAAUAUGUCACCGGACCCUGCAUGCAAGUGAUCCAAUUCUCCAGUCUGGGCCUUGCCCAUAGAGGAGAUUGAGACAUAUUCCAGGUCAUGCAAAUGGAGGCGGAUUUUGACAUAUCAUAAAGCCAACAUAAUACACAGUCUGCAGGUGGAAUUGGGACUCUCAUGCAUGGAUCCAGUUCAUCAUUGAUACUGUGACUCAUGUACUUGGAUGCAACUCACAGGAGGUGUUGACGCUUUUUACCUGAAGCUGGGACAUGUGUGGAAUUGUGAAUCCUAGCCCUAGAUCUUCCCACAGGUAUGAUUGUGACAUAUACUUUUGCCUAGCA
RNAcentral lists this long non-coding RNA (2420 nucleotides) under Homo sapiens (human). RNAcentral describes it as "long intergenic non-protein coding RNA 1859". Lineage: Eukaryota; Metazoa; Chordata; Mammalia; Primates; Hominidae. The record is from RNAcentral.